UACGGGGGGGCAAGCGUUGUUCGGAAUUACUGGGCGUAAAGGGCUCGUAGGUGGCCAACUAAGUCAGACGUGAAAUCCCUCGGCUUAACCGGGGAACUGCGUCUGAUACUGGAUGGCUUGAGUUCGGGAGAGGGAUGCGGAAUUCCAGGUGUAGCGGUGAAAUUCGUAGAUAUCGGGAGGAACACCGGUGGCGAAGGCGGCGACCUGGGUAGAUACUGACGCUGAGGUGCGAAAGCGUGGGGAGCAAGCAGG
RNAcentral lists this ribosomal RNA (252 nucleotides) under uncultured bacterium. RNAcentral describes it as "partial 16S ribosomal RNA". It matches the Rfam family "Bacterial small subunit ribosomal RNA", at positions 524 to 776 of the family's 1533-position model. The record is from RNAcentral.